GAUGAACGCUGGCGGCGUGCCUAAUACAUGCAAGUCGAGCGAACAGACGAGGAGCUUGCUCCUCUGACGUUAGCGGCGGACGGGUGAGUAACACGUGGAUAACCUACCUAUAAGACUGGGAUAACUUCGGGAAACCGGAGCUAAUACCGGAUAAUAUAUUGAACCGCAUGGUUCAAUAGUGAAAGACGGUUUUGCUGUCACUUAUAGAUGGAUCCGCGCCGCAUUAGCUAGUUGGUAAGGUAACGGCUUACCAAGGCAACGAAGCGUAGCCGACCUGAGAGGAUGAUCGGCCACACUGGAACUGAGACACGGUCCAGACUCCUACGGGAGGCAGCAGUAGGGAAUCUUCCGCAAUGGGCGAAAGCCUGACGGAGCAACGCCGCGUGAGUGAAGAAGGCCUUCGGAUCGUAAAACUCUGUUAUUAGGGAAGAAAAAAUGUGUAAGUAACUAUGCACGUCUUGACGGUACCUAAUCAGAAAGCCACGGCUAACUACGUG
This 497-nucleotide ribosomal RNA is filed under the name uncultured bacterium. RNAcentral's name for it is "partial 16S ribosomal RNA". It matches the Rfam family "Bacterial small subunit ribosomal RNA", at positions 28 to 507 of the family's 1533-position model. The record is from RNAcentral.